CGUCAUGAAUUGAUUUCCUGCAGUAAUCAUCAUCAACCAAUGGCGGCAUCGGCAUAUUCCUUAUUCCUUAACCAACUCCAAAGGAAAAUAAUAUUACGCCGCCUUUUUCAACCUGCGGAGAUAGAAGUAAACAUAUUUUUCUCCGAACAUGGAAAUCAUGAUUUUCGAUUUUAAUCAUCGGAGCAAAUCAGAAAUGGCAGCCGCAGCAGAGGAAGAAGAAACAUAGCCUGGAAACAAGAACCACAGCUUCCAAAACCGAAACAAUCCUGAAUAGCAAACUGUCCACUAUCCAAUGGUACAAGUUGAACUUCUUCUUCCACCGGAACCCGUCGGAGCGAGAGCUCUUCCGCCUCCACCGCCACGCUCCGCCGCCUCCGCCACCACCACCAUCGCCACUACUUUUCUUGUUACUCAGCCUCUUGAAUAGAAACGAAAACGCUGACGACUGCUUCUUCUCCAUGAGUUACUCUCUCUCUUCUCUCUCUCUUUCUCUCUCUAGAUUUCUCUCUCUAAACUUUUGAUGGAUUCUUGU
Molecule: long non-coding RNA, 532 nt
Filed under: Erythranthe guttata (spotted monkey flower)
Lineage: Eukaryota; Viridiplantae; Streptophyta; Magnoliopsida; Lamiales; Phrymaceae
Description: long non-coding RNA (EGUT_LNC000371)
Source: RNAcentral